AGGAAGAGUCACAAGAUAGCACGGCAAGGACACGAUGUGUACCGUCAGCUCCUUCUUCCCAGAGGUCCCUGAGCUUGGACAGGCUGCAGCAAGGGGCACUGCACAAGGCCAGCCACGAGGACACCAGGGACGCCACAAAAUCCCCAGGCUCUCAGGAUGGCCCCUUGAGCAGCCUCAGCAAAACUAGCAAUAGCCAGGACUCACUGAACAACGCCCCCAAGAAGAAGGGCAUCACAAAAUCCGUCCGCUGGUUGCUCACCCGAAGACAAAAGGUCCACCCCAGCCACGCUAGCGACGAGCCUGCAUGACCAGCCAAAGAAGAUGCAGCUGGUCGUCGGUCCGUGACAUGCUGACCUGCCCCAGCCCCUCGGCGACGGCGCCACGGGAGGCUCUUUGACUGGAAUGUGAACAAUGGUGGAGAAUGGCCGACUUCGUAUGUAACAAGGCUGUGGCCCGCUCAGGCUUCAAUGAUCUAAGAUGACUCCUAACUGGAUAUCAAGCUUAUCUGCUUGAAUAUUAGUGUGCUCUUCCACCUACUACAGCUAGGC
Lynx canadensis (Canada lynx) is the source of this 548-nucleotide long non-coding RNA. RefSeq lists it as uncharacterized. NCBI's taxonomy places the organism in Eukaryota, Metazoa, Chordata, Mammalia, Carnivora, Felidae. The record is from RefSeq and is a predicted model, not a curated record. The transcript has 3 exons.